This 497-nucleotide ribosomal RNA is filed under the name uncultured bacterium. RNAcentral's name for it is "partial 16S ribosomal RNA". It matches the Rfam family "Bacterial small subunit ribosomal RNA", at positions 28 to 507 of the family's 1533-position model. The record is from RNAcentral.
GAUGAACGCUGGCGGCGUGCCUAAUACAUGCAAGUCGAGCGAACAGACGAGGAGCUUGCUCCUCUGACGUUAGCGGCGGACGGGUGAGUAACACGUGGAUAACCUACCUAUAAGACUGGGAUAACUUCGGGAAACCGGAGCUAAUACCGGAUAAUAUAUUGAACCGCAUGGUUCAAUAGUGAAAGUCGGUUUUGCUGUCACUUAUAGAUGGAUCCGCGCCGCAUUAGCUAGUUGGUAAGGUAACGGCUUACCAAGGCAACGAUGCGUAGCCGACCUGAGAGGGUGAUCGGCAACACUGGAACUGAGACACGGUCCAGACUACUACGGGAGGCAGCAGUAGGGAAUCUUCCGCAAUGGGCGAAAGCCUGACGGAGCAACGCCGCGUGAGUGAUGAAGGUCUUCGGAUCGUAAAACUCUGUUAUUAGGGAAGAACAAAUGUGUAAGUAACUAUGCACGUCUUGACGGUACCUAAUCAGAAAGCCACGGCUAACUACGUG